RNAcentral lists this long non-coding RNA (423 nucleotides) under Oryza sativa tropical japonica subgroup. RNAcentral describes it as "lncRNA OsCMeo_09g0020630". The record is from RNAcentral. RNAcentral also lists the same sequence under 1 other name. Lineage: Eukaryota; Viridiplantae; Streptophyta; Magnoliopsida; Poales; Poaceae.
CUCGCCGGCGAACGCGUCGGCCCUGUCAGCGGCGCCGGCGACGCGUACGCGCGGUGGGACGCGGCGGUGGGGUGCCGGGCGCUCGCGGAGAACUACCGGCCGUGGUCGCCCGACCCAGCGGCGCUGCAGCACGACAGCACGUACGUGGUUGGUUGGUUGGCUUCUUUUCGGUUUGUUCGUUCCUUGUGGUUGAGAGUGAGUGAGGUGGAGGAGAGAGAGGAGGAAGAGGAGGGGAUUCAUUCACGUGGUUUCCGGAGAGAGCAGGAGCCAACGUGCGGCUUGACUCUGGAGAUCUCUCUCUCUCUCUCUCAAGCCCAAAUCAGAAGCGUCGAGGUCGUGAGAGGGAGAGGAAUCGACGGAGAGAGAGAGGCGGCGGCAGGAAAAGGUGGAGAAGUCAAGAAACAAGAACCCAAUCACCAUUGA